This 201-nucleotide ribosomal RNA is filed under the name Sarax singaporae. RNAcentral's name for it is "partial small subunit ribosomal RNA". The record is from RNAcentral. Lineage: Eukaryota; Metazoa; Arthropoda; Arachnida; Amblypygi; Charinidae.
AGUAAGAGGGGCUCUUGAAACUUAAAGUAUUUGGCGGUUUUUCAGUCUAGUUAGAGGAAUUUGUCCUGUAAUAGAUGGUCCACAAGUGAUUUAACUCUUUUUUUAAAUAUCGCCGUCGACGUCAGGUCAAGAUUUAGCAGAUGGAGGAGGUUGAGAUUGGAUUUAAAAGUGCAUGGGGGUAGUUUGGGCUCUGGAAAAUGU